CACCAAUUCUGUUCUCCUUAUCUGGCAAACACCCAGAGGGAACAGAAGUUCAUAUGAAUUAGAAGUUUUAGGCAAUUCAUCAUCCAUUGUGAGCCUUCAUUCUCUUGAUACAUCUUACCUUGUGGAUCAGUUAAUACCUGGGAACUUUUACACAUUCAAUAUCUAUGCCAAAGCUGGAAACGGUUUGACUGGGGGCAUCGCAGAAAACUAUACAUUCACAGGUAAAUAUAGAAUAGCAUGUUGAUAUCUGAUGAUAAAAAUUGAAAAGAAAAAUGAUAGCUAAAUAAUUAACUUUCAUAAGAUAAAAAUAAACUACAUGUAAGUUGAAAGGAACAUUCAUUUGGCAAAUAUAUACUAAUAAGUUUAAGGUGACAGCAGAAUUAAUUAGUUAGAUUUGACCAUACAUUAACUAUACUAAUUUGACAAUGUGAGAUUUUAAAGCAACUGUCGUACAUCCGUUAUUUUUCACAUUGAUAAAUCCAGGUCAAGUUUCUUGAAGGCAAAAUCUUUUGCCAUUUGCCAAGAAAGUGUUGCAAUGGGAUAUGAGCUGCAAUGCAAUGUUUCUGAUGGUUACUGUUACUUACAAUCAAGGUGUUCAGUGUUUCUAUAAUAUGUGAAUCAUUGUUGUCUUGUGUAUAUUUUUUAUAAAUAUAUAUAUGGUCAAAGACAAAACUAAUAUUUCAAUAUUUUUUGUCUAUGUCAUUUUUCAUUGCACAUUAUUUCUAUAUUCUAGUUCCUGCUGCAGUGGAGAAUGUGAUCAUAGCGAAUAUCACCACCAAUUCAGUUCUCCUGAUCUGGCAAACACCUGAAGGGAACAGAAGUUCAUAUGAAUUAGAAGUUUUAGGCAAUUCAUCAUCCGUUGUGAGCCUUACUACCUUUGAUACAUCUUACCUUGUGGACCAUUUAAUACCUGGGAACUUUUACACAUUCAAUAUCUAUGCCAAAGCUGGAAACGGUUUGACUGGGGG
RNAcentral lists this long non-coding RNA (968 nucleotides) under Pelobates cultripes (western spadefoot toad). The record is from RNAcentral. Lineage: Eukaryota; Metazoa; Chordata; Amphibia; Anura; Pelobatidae.